This 465-nucleotide ribosomal RNA is filed under the name Vreelandella stevensii. RNAcentral describes it as "partial 16S ribosomal RNA". It matches the Rfam family "Bacterial small subunit ribosomal RNA", at positions 338 to 795 of the family's 1533-position model. Lineage: Bacteria; Pseudomonadati; Pseudomonadota; Gammaproteobacteria; Oceanospirillales; Halomonadaceae. The record is from RNAcentral.
CCUACGGGUGGUUGCAGUGGGGAAUAUUGGACAAUGGGCGAAAGCCUGAUCCAGCCAUGCCGCGUGUGUGAAGAAGGCCUUCGGGUUGUAAAGCACUUUCAGUGGGGAAGAAAGCCUUGGGGCUAAUACCCUCGAGGAAGGACAUCACCCACAGAAGAAGCACCGGCUAACUCCGUGCCAGCAGCCGCGGUAAUACGGAGGGUGCGAGCGUUAAUCGGAAUUACUGGGCGUAAAGCGCGCGUAGGCGGUCUGAUAAGCCGGUUGUGAAAGCCCCGGGCUCAACCUGGGAACGGCAUCCGGAACUGUCAGGCUAGAGUGCAGGAGAGGAAGGUAGAAUUCCCGGUGUAGCGGUGAAAUGCGUAGAGAUCGGGAGGAAUACCAGUGGCGAAGGCGGCCUUCUGGACUGACACUGACGCUGAGGUGCGAAAGCGUGGGUAGCAAACAGGAUUAGAUACCCCAGUAGUC